GACUAAGAGCCCCCUACCCUGACACUGACCAAUUGUAGGACACUAUUUCAAAGUGAAGAGUUCAAAUAAGAAUAUCUAGAAGAUACCAAAAAAGCCGAAUGAAAAGGUAUCAAUUUCACUCUGUCUCCAAAUUUAGAAAAGGACUUGUUCCCUCAGU
Long non-coding RNA from Molossus molossus (Pallas's mastiff bat), 157 nucleotides. RefSeq lists it as uncharacterized. The transcript has 3 exons. NCBI's taxonomy places the organism in Eukaryota, Metazoa, Chordata, Mammalia, Chiroptera, Molossidae. The record is from RefSeq and is a predicted model, not a curated record.